Molecule: long non-coding RNA, 448 nt
Filed under: Ornithorhynchus anatinus (platypus)
Lineage: Eukaryota; Metazoa; Chordata; Mammalia; Monotremata; Ornithorhynchidae
Description: lncRNA (ENSOANG00000045686.1)
Source: RNAcentral
CCCAAGUGCUUAGUACAGUGCUUUGUACACAGUGAGUGAAUGAAUGAAUGAAUUCAUCAUAUUUAUUGAAGCUCUUACUGUGUGCUAAACACUCUAUGAACCUGGGCUGGCUGUAAGGGAGCUGCCAUCUGCCACAGUCUCUUGUUUCAGGUGGGAGGAGAGAGUCACGAUGUAGCCGCUGCUGGAAUAUCGCCGGGCUGGACGACCUAAGCCGAUCCAAACCAGUCGAGGCCCUUGUCCUCGUUCUCAAGGGAGCUCAGGGCAGCUGCCUUCCUCUCUCCGGUUCCCCCGACGGCAUCCUCCCCUCCAGCCGGCCGAAGGCCAAACCCAGAAACGAGAGCCGACGGGCCGAAGCCCCAGCCCGAGCCGCCCCAGCUCCGCCCCAUGACGCUGGGAUGAUUUGAAGAAGAGUAAGAGUAAGUAGGAAGCGGGUUCUAGCCCGGUUUCU